AUGGAGAAGCAGCAGCAGGAGAGGAUGCUCCUCCAAGCCGCCUUCGACGGCAACCUCCGUCUCGUCAAAAAGAUGGCGCGGAGGCUCAACUCCGGGCCAGGCGAGGCGGCCAUCAUGGCGGCGGUGGUUGACGGAAAGAGCGGGAACAGCGCGCUGCACCUGGCGGCCAUGGAGGAGAAGAUGGACGUCUGCAGGUACCUCGUGGAGGACCUCCGCCUUGACAUCAACCAAACCAACGACAAUGGUGAAACUCCGCUAUUCCUUUCUGCAUUCUUUGGGAGAGCUGUGGCUGCAAAAUAUCUUCUUGCUCAUGAUGCCGAUCCAAAGUUAGGUGGUAAAACAGGAUCGCCUCUCCAUGCUGCUGCACACAAAGAACAUCAAGGAAUAGUCAAACUGCUGCUUUCAAGAGGAAUUGACGUGGAUUUACCUUCGCCGCUUGGAACUCCGUUGCAUUUGGCUGCUACUUAUGGUCAAGAUGGUACGAUGAAGAUUUUGUUGGAGCACCAUGCAGAUCCAAACAAGGUUCUCAACCUUGAUGAUACCCCGUUGAGUAUGGCCAUAAGGCCCAUACCAACUGCAUCGGUGAACUGUGUGAAGCUACUCAUUAAGGCUGGCGCUGAUGUGAAUUUCACUGACUCGAAUGGUGGUAGUUACGUGGCGUUGGCAGCAACUUGUGGCUCAGCUGGCAUCAUGAACUGUUUACUAGAAGCUGGUGCCAACCCGAAUAUUGCAGAUGAAUUUGGUAUAACUCCAAUUGAAGUUGCUGCUUCCCAAGGCAGAAGAGAAAUUGUUGAAAUGUUAUUUCCCGUAACUUCUCCGAUUUCAAAGCUUCCCGAUUGGAGCAUUGACGGGGUCAUUUCGCAUGUGAAAACUUUUGGUUUGCAGCGGGAUAAACUUAAGUGUCAGAAGAAAAGAGCUGAAUUGAAAUUAAAAGCUGCUGAGGCUUUUAAGAGAAGUGAAUAUAUGAUGGCAGCAGAGAUGUAUACUGUUGCAAUGGAACUUGGCCCUAGCUCAGAUGAUUAUGCAACCCUGCUAGCAAAUAGGAGUCUCUGUUUGUUGCGCUUGGAAAAUGGAACUAUGGCUCUCAAAGAUGCUACUUUGUGUAGAAUGAUGCGACCCAACUGGCCAAAAGCCUGCUAUCGACAAGGGGCUGCUUUUAUGCGUCUGAAGGACUACGAAAAAGCAUGUGAGGCUUUCGCAGAUGGCCUAAAGUUGGACCCCAAAGCCGUUGACAUUGAGAAUGCUUUAAGGUAA
This 1254-nucleotide ribosomal RNA is filed under the name Triticum aestivum (bread wheat). RNAcentral's name for it is "partial small subunit ribosomal RNA". Lineage: Eukaryota; Viridiplantae; Streptophyta; Magnoliopsida; Poales; Poaceae. The record is from RNAcentral.